GGGCGAUUAGCUCAGGGGUAGAGCGCUUCGUUCACACCGAAGAGGUCACUGGUUCGAUCCCAGUAUCGCCCA
This 72-nucleotide transfer RNA is filed under the name Actinobaculum sp. oral taxon 183 str. F0552. It matches the Rfam family "tRNA". From Rfam's summary of the family: Transfer RNA (tRNA) molecules are approximately 80 nucleotides in length. Their secondary structure includes four short double-helical elements and three loops (D, anti-codon, and T loops). Lineage: Bacteria; Bacillati; Actinomycetota; Actinomycetes; Actinomycetales; Actinomycetaceae. The record is from Rfam by way of RNAcentral.